GGGUGAGUAACACGUGGGUAACCUGCCUGUAAGACUGGGAUAACUCCGGGAAACCGGGGCUAAUACCGGAUAACUCAGUUCCUCGCAUGAGGAACUGUUGAAAGGUGGCUUUUCCCUACCACUUACAGAUGGACCCGCGGCGCAUUACCUAGUUGGUGAGGUAACGGCUCACCAAGGCAACGAUGCGUACCCAACCUGAAAGGGUGAUCGGCCACACUGGGACUGAAACACGGCCCAAACUCCUACGGGAGGCAGCAGUAGGGAAUCUUCCGCAAUGGACAAAAGUCUGACGGAGCAACGCCCCGGGAGUGAAAAAGGUUUUCGGAUCGUAAAACUCUGUUGUUAGGGAAAAACAAGUGCCGUUCGAAUAGGGCGGCACCUUGACGGUACCUAACCAAAAAGCCACGGCUAACUACUUGCCAGCAGCCGCGGUAAUACGUAGGUGGCAAGCGUUGUCCGGAAUUAUUGGGCGUAAAGCGCGCGCAGGUGGUUUCUUAAGUCUGAUGUGAAAGCCCACGGUUCAACCGUGAAGGGUCAUUGGAAACUGGGGAACUUGAGUGCAAAAAAGGAAAGUGGAAUUCCAAGUGUACCGGUGAAAUGCGUAAAUAUUUGGAGGAACACCAGUGGCGAAGGCGACUUUCUGGUCUGUAACUGACACUGAGGCGCGAAAGCGUGGGGAGCAAACAGGAUUAGAUACCCUGGUAGUCCACGCCGUAAACGAUGAGUGCUAAGUGUUAAAGGGUUUCCGCCCUUUAGUGCUGCAGCUAACGCAUUAAGCACUCCGCCUGGGGAGUACGGUCGCAAGACUGAAACUCAAAGGAAUUGACGGGGGCCCGCACAAGCGGUGGAGCAUGUGGUUUAAUUCGAAGCAACGCGAAGAACCUUACCAGGUCUUGACAUCCUCUGACAACCCUAAAAAUAGGGC
RNAcentral lists this ribosomal RNA (925 nucleotides) under Bacillus sp. (in: firmicutes). RNAcentral describes it as "bacterial SSU rRNA". It matches the Rfam family "Bacterial small subunit ribosomal RNA", at positions 104 to 1012 of the family's 1533-position model. Lineage: Bacteria; Bacillati; Bacillota; Bacilli; Caryophanales; Bacillaceae. The record is from RNAcentral.